This 283-nucleotide unclassified non-coding RNA is filed under the name uncultured soil eukaryote. RNAcentral describes it as "sequence contains ITS2". The record is from RNAcentral.
AAAAUCCCUCAUUUCUACAACAUUUGGUACAUCCAUCCUUGAUGGACCCCAAUGGGCAUGGAAAUAAAUACUGGAUGUUUUGCUAUACUGAGCAAGCUUGAUCUUGUUAGCAUUGCAAUCAUCUAAAAAUGAAUUGUGGAUGCUCCCCAGCAGAUUGCUCCUGGGCCUGCCAAAGUGCAACAGAUAAUUACUUUAAUUUUGUCUUGAAACACAUUGGCUAUGGUUAUCUCGGCAAUAACUGGGAAUUUUUAGUAUCCAUUCUGUUAAAGAAUGCUCUUGACAA